This is a long non-coding RNA of Sinocyclocheilus grahami, 581 nucleotides long. RefSeq lists it as uncharacterized. The transcript has 3 exons. The record is from RefSeq and is a predicted model, not a curated record. Lineage: Eukaryota; Metazoa; Chordata; Actinopteri; Cypriniformes; Cyprinidae.
UCAAACGAACGAUUCAUUAACUGACGUCGCUGUUUUGGGCCUCAUCAAUUGUCGUGUUUUUCUGCUGUUUUGAAAAAAGUUUAACAUUUUCCUGAAAUCUGACUGAACUCUGGACUGUUAGUCACAGGGACGUUUGGCCUUCAUCACCUGUUGGAAGGCUGAAGUCUGCAGCAUGACUCUGACAGUGUCUGAAGGGGAGGGUUUGACGGUCAUCACCAUCGCCUCAAACCCGAAGAGCAAAUGGCCCGUACUGUGUCAGAUUCUGGGUUUUCUGUGCUGCAGUCCAGUCUGUUCUGUGUCUCAGAAUAUGAAAGGGAAGCUGAUGAACAUCCACACUGCUCUUGGGACUAUGCAGAUAAUAGUUGGCAUCAUCAAUAUUGUGUUUGGGAUUUUGCUUAACAGCUUUUGGAUAAGGGGCAACCUUGCAGAUUUUGGGGUUGCUUUCUGGAUCAGUGGUGUGGUAAGAAUUUGUCUUAUUCUGCUCAUUCUUAUGUUUCUAAACCAUUACAUGUGUAAUGAGUGAGUCUUAUUCAGAUUAAAUCUGUCUGUUACAAAUAUGUUUGAGAGGAUGAGAAGAGAGA